GAUGAACGCUGGCGGCGUGCCUAACACAUGCAAGUCGAGCGGUAUAUACUUUAUCAAAUCUUCGGAAGAGAGACGGUAUAGAGAGCGGCGGACGGGUGAGUAACGCGUAGGCAACCUGCCCCAUACAGAGGGAUAGCCUCGGGAAACCGGGAUUAAAACCUCAUAACGCGAAAGAGUCACAUGGCUUUUUCGCCAAAGAUUUAUCGGUAUGGGAUGGGCCUGCGUCUGAUUAGCUAGUUGGUGGGGUAACGGCCUACCAAGGCGACGAUCAGUAGCCGACCUGAGAGGGUAAUCGGCCACAUUGGAACUGAGACACGGUCCAAACUCCUACGGGAGGCAGCAGUGGGGAAUAUUGCACAAUGGGCGAAAGCCUGAUGCAGCAACGCCGCGUGAGCGAUGAAGGCCUUUGGGUCGUAAAGCUCUGUCCUUGGGGAAGAAUAAAUGACGGUACCCUUGGAGGAAGCCCCGGCUAACUACGUGCCAGCCGCCGCGGUAA
This 496-nucleotide ribosomal RNA is filed under the name uncultured bacterium. Its description in RNAcentral is "partial 16S ribosomal RNA". It matches the Rfam family "Bacterial small subunit ribosomal RNA", at positions 28 to 523 of the family's 1533-position model. The record is from RNAcentral.